Molecule: unclassified non-coding RNA, 578 nt
Filed under: Hevea brasiliensis (rubber tree)
Lineage: Eukaryota; Viridiplantae; Streptophyta; Magnoliopsida; Malpighiales; Euphorbiaceae
Source: RNAcentral
GUUUACUGCCUAUAUUGUUCUGUAUUUAUCUGUCAUUGGGCUUUUUCAAAAAAAUAUGCUGUGUGUCUCCUCAAGGUCUGGUAUAUCCACCCUAUUAAUUAUGCUUUUUUUACUCACAAGGGCUAACAACUCAUGGUUCCAUAUACUCGAGACAAGUGUCAAGGUUAAAGGAAAGAAGGUCCACUUCUAUUUAGCUUAAUGCUUUUAUCCCUAGGGCAUUUGGCUGAGUUAGUUGUGGUUUAUGGGUACCUUGAGAACAAUUGUUGUAGUCAUUCUUUUUAUCUCUCUUGCCAAUUUCCAUACUGAUUCAUUCUUAGUUUACACUGGUUGCCAGCCUUUUUCUUUCAUAAAACUUUUCAACAUCCAACAAUAAAAUCUCUGGUAGUGAUAUUACGUGAUAGGAGAACUGUUAAUUUGUCUAUGUUAAACAGGUAGAUAUCAUAAUCUGUUCAGUUGUGUACAACUUCAGAUGUAUGGUAUAUUUGUUUGAUUGAUACAUUGUCCAUGUUCUUUUUCUUUAACCUUGCAAAUGAUGAAGGUGAAAUUUUCAAUGCAGCAACACUUGCUCUGCCUGAAAC